Molecule: small RNA, 855 nt
Filed under: Drosophila ananassae
Lineage: Eukaryota; Metazoa; Arthropoda; Insecta; Diptera; Drosophilidae
Description: GF26303
Source: RNAcentral
AAUAUUAAGAAAUAUCUAUAUAAAUAAAGGGAUAUAUAUUUUUGGAAGAAGAUUACUAAAGCAUCGUAUUAUUAAUUCUUGUAACUAGUAUAAGGAGUUGAACUAGUGUAAGCAGUGCAUUAAAUAACUAUUUAAAUAUUAAAACCCUUAACGGUCAUCAAGUAUAUAUUCUUAUACAUAUUAUUCAACGAUUUUAAUCAAUCCAAGCAUCAAUCAAUCCAACAAUCAAUUCAAAUAAACUACUUCAAAGGAAUACCUACAGAACAUAUACUCAGAAGCUGCGCUGUGGAUCGGGCAAGGCAUUAAUUAGCAAACAGGAAACCAUCAAGUAUUACUAGACUACUUAACUCUCGUAACUCGUAACUCUCGGCCCAAAUUCAUCAAAAAAAAAAAAACAAAAAAAAAUAUCUCAACUCAGUCAACGGAAGAAGCCUCACAACAGAUAGCUGAUAGCAGAAAGGAUAUACAUAUAUUUAAAGGAUUAUAAGAUAUAACGGUAACGAUCAAGGAACUUUGGGAUUUCAGGUAAUAGGAACAACGCUAAGCUAAGAGUAAGGACUAAGGACAACAACAAUUCUCUAGGAUACACAAUAGAAAGGGAUAACUUUUUCAUGCAACUUUCAAGGCUGACAUUACAAAUUUUUUGAUAAUCCAAAAGCAGAAGCAACAAACAAAUUAAAAAGCAACAAACAAACAAACAAACAAAACAACAAACAAGCAGCUAAAACAAAAAACAAGCGUCAAGAAGAAGAGACUGAUUUUAAAUUAAAAGAGAAAGGAUACAGCAAGGAUAAUACAGAUACAGCAUUGAGGCAAAAGUGAUUAAGGAUCAAAUCCAAAAAAAAAAAAAAAAAA